GAGUGACUUCUAGUGAUCACCUGUGUGGAGGGAACUUGUUUAGCUUCGCUUGAUUUUCAAAUGAGGUGCUGCUUCCUAAGCUGAAUCAUGUGCUCCCAAUUAAUCUAAAGGAGAGACAUGAAAAUGAUUGAUUAUACUCUGCUAGCUGUGACCCUGACAAGAGAGAGAAAGAGAGGGAGAGACAGAGACAGAGACAGAGACAGAGACGGGGUUUGAGACUGCUGUUCCCAAAGACAAUGCAGUUGGGCAGGUAUCAGCCACCAAAGGCUUAUUAAAAAUGGGUCAGGAACAAGGCAUUGAGGGUAAAACUGAUAAAACAAGAAAAGGUGCUUGGUCUCCAGGUUGCUACAGUCUCUUGGGAGAUACAACUGCACAUGGAUGAAUAACCAAGGGAAGAACCGAGAAUCCAAGGCAAGACAACCCCAAAGGCUCCAGGGAAACCUGAAGAUGAAGAGCCCAGUUUUAGCUGGGGAUGUGGGAGCCUGAGCAGGACCUCAAUCAAAGCUCAGAAUUGCAGGGGAAUGGAGGUGCUUCCCAGGCUCUCCUUGCCAUUGGUCAUCAUCUUCCUUAACCUGUUGUUAUUCUUUUUGUCUAUACCCGAUUGUCCACCUCAUCCAGGGAUGUGCUGAUGAGUGUUUAACAAAAUACUACUAAUAAAAGAAUGUUGAGCACACUUUUAUGUUUACA
RNAcentral lists this long non-coding RNA (687 nucleotides) under Monodelphis domestica (gray short-tailed opossum). RNAcentral's name for it is "lncRNA (ENSMODG00000032366.2)". The record is from RNAcentral. Lineage: Eukaryota; Metazoa; Chordata; Mammalia; Didelphimorphia; Didelphidae.